GCUGUGGAACUCCUACGGGAUGCAGCAGCGGGGAAUAUUGGACAAUGGGCGAAAGCCUGAUCCAGCCAUGCCGCGUGUGUGAAGAAGGUCUUCGGAUUGUAAAGCACUUUAAGUUGGGAGGAAGGGCAUUAACCUAAUACGUUGGUGUCUUGACGUUACCGACAGAAUAAGCACCGGCUAACUCUGUGCCAGCAGCCGCGGUAAUACAGAGGGUGCAAGCGUUAAUCGGAAUUACUGGGCGUAAAGCGCGCGUAGGUGGUUUGUUAAGUUGAAUGUGAAAUCCCCGGGCUCAACCUGGGAACUGCAUCCAAAACUGGCAAGCUAGAGUAUGGUAGAGGGUAGUGGAAUUUCCUGUGUAGCGGUGAAAUGCGUAGAUAUAGGAAGGAACACCAGUGGCGAAGGCGACUACCUGGACUGAUACUGACACUGAGGUGCGAAAGCGUGGGGAGCAAACAGGAUUAGAUACCCUUGUAGUCCUACCACGU
RNAcentral lists this ribosomal RNA (485 nucleotides) under uncultured bacterium. Its description in RNAcentral is "bacterial SSU rRNA". It matches the Rfam family "Bacterial small subunit ribosomal RNA", at positions 327 to 800 of the family's 1533-position model. The record is from RNAcentral.